Long non-coding RNA from Anser cygnoides (Swan goose), 1815 nucleotides. The record is from Ensembl. NCBI's taxonomy places the organism in Eukaryota, Metazoa, Chordata, Aves, Anseriformes, Anatidae.
AUGUUCGAUUUGCUGUUAAUAUUGUCCUGGGUGAUCCUGUUUUAUGUAAUCCGUGCCAUGCUCUCCCUUCUCCGCUAUAUUCGAUUAGAGAAUGUGCUAAAAUCUGUGCUCGUAUUUUUUAGUUCGCUGUGCUGUCAAGCACUGGCCUUGAGUCUAAUCUCGUAUUCAGUCCCUGCAUUGUUAUCAAUUGGGUCUCUUGGAAAUUAUCUUUCAGAGAAAAUUCAGAAUUACACUGCCUUCCUUUCCUCCUCUGGAUGUCAGUUUAUGAAUAAUAUCAGGAAUGGUACCUCCUCCUUCUUUCCCUGUGGGCUAAUUACAGCAGCUUUUGAGUACUUUGAGUACCCAUGGGUAACCAGCAUACUCUUAUUGCUAAGUCUGUACAAUGUGCUUCUUCUUCUCUCUAAGGUUAAACAAUUAGUUAAGAAUACCACCCAGGAACCUGCCCCGAGACAGUGUGGUGGCAGGUGGCAAGGUGUGUGGGAGGAUAUGGGCAGGUACCUGCCACGGUUGUCUCCCCCGAUGGCUUUGAACUUCACCCCUGAACAAAUGAGAGAUCCUAAGAAACUGGUAGAAUGUUUGAAAGCCGUAUGUCCUGACCCUGGCAAUGCCGGGGAACGACAGCUUGCUGCACUCUGCUGGGGCCUGGCCUACGCCUAUCAAACGGUACUUAACACUGCCCAGCACCCUCAGGGGGAGGAGGAGGACUCUGAAUCUGAUGACGAGACAGCAUACACCGUGUCUGAUCCAGAGGACCAACCAUCUACAGUAUCAGACACUCCCCCAGCCAAGACAAAACAACGGAAAGGGAAGUCAGCUCGGACAGAAAUCAUAUAUGAAUCAGAAACCACCCGAUCCCUAUCCUUGAGUGAGUUGCGACACAUACGAAAGGAUUUCAGUCAUCACCCAGGUGAGCACAUCCUCACCUGGCUGCUUCGAUGCUGGGACACUGGGGCCAAUAUGCAGAAACUACAAGGCAAGGAAGCUAAACAGCUGGGAUCCCUCUCUAGAGAAAGGCUCAUUGACAGAGUGAUUGGGAGAGAGGCUCGGGUUCUCAGCCUCUGGAGGCAACUCCUGGCAGCUGUGAAAGAAAGGUAUCCCCACCAGGAAGAUACUGUAUAUCAACUAGGCAAGUGGACCACCAUGGAGAAAGGUCUACAGCAACUGAGGGAAUUAGCUGUGCUGGAGAUGGUUUGUAGUGAUUUAGACAACGCCCAGACACCUAAAGAUCCCGAUGAAGUCCAGUGCACGCCAUCCAUGUGGUGUAAGUUUGUGUGGGGUGCACCAUCAUCACAUGCCAGCACGCUGGCUGCAAUGAGGUGGAAAGAUGUGAUGGGAUCAACAGUGUAUGUUGUGUCCAGACAGCUUCAGCAAUAUGAAGAAAAUCUCUUUGCCCCACUACGGGCCUGCACCGUGGCUGUAGAGAAACUGUCCCAAAAUGUCCACCACCUUAAAGAACGUACAUCUUCCUCCUCAGCCAGAGGGAGAAAUAUUUCAGCCAUGCAGAAUCAGUAUUUUCCUGUUCGAGGGAAAGAGUACCCGAGACGCACACCACGUGGCACCUUGUGGUUUUAUCUGCAUGAGCAUGGGGAAGAUAUGAGGAAGUGGGGUGGCGAACCUACCUCGACCCUGGCAGCUCAAGUAUGUGAACUGCAAGGAAACAUGGCAGCAAAAAGGGGGUCUCCUAGGAAAACUGCUGCUCUGGUUUCUGUUGGGCAGUCCCCCAGAGGGAGUAGAAGGGCUGAUGUUACUCUUGACCCUGAUGGAGAGACCUCUGCUUUGCAUUGGCAAGAAUUAAGUGACAGAUACUUCAACUAG